AUUGAACGCUGGCGGCAUGCCUUACACAUGCAAGUCGAACGGCAGCGGACCUUCGGUGCCGGCGAGUGGCGAACGGGUGAGUAAUAUAUCGGAACGUACCUUUCAGUGGGGAGUAACGUAGCGAAAGUUAACGCUAAUACCGCAUAUUCUGUGAGCAGGAAAGACAGGGGAGUCGCAAGAACCUUGCGCUGAUUGAGCGGCCGAUAUCAGAUUAGCUAGUUGGUGAGGUAAAGGCUCACCAAGGCGACGAUCUGUAGCGGGUCGUGAGAGGAUGAUCCGCCACACUGGAACUGAGACACGGUCCANACUCCUACGGGAGGCAGCAGU
Molecule: ribosomal RNA, 327 nt
Filed under: uncultured bacterium
Lineage: Bacteria
Description: bacterial SSU rRNA
Rfam family: Bacterial small subunit ribosomal RNA
Source: RNAcentral